UGAGAAGGCCUUCGGGUUGUAAAGCUCUUUCAGCCGGAAAGAAAUCGCAUUCCUUAAUACGGGGUGUGGAUGACGGUACCGGAAGAAGAAGCACCGGCUAAAUACGUGCCAGCAGCCGCGGUA
Molecule: ribosomal RNA, 123 nt
Filed under: uncultured bacterium
Lineage: Bacteria
Description: partial 16S ribosomal RNA
Rfam family: Bacterial small subunit ribosomal RNA
Source: RNAcentral